GUGGUCUCUUCCAGGAUAACAACGCCCCCCCAUCCCACAGGACACCAGUGGUCUCUUCCAGGAUAACAACGCCCCCCCCCAUCCCACAGGACACCAGUGGUCACUGAAUGGUGUUUUGAGGAAGAUGAAAACCAUGUAAACGGUAUCCUCUGGCCGUCUCAGUCACCAGAUCUCAACCCAGUUGAAUAAUUAUGGGAGAUUCUGGAGCUGCGCCUGAGACAGCGUUUUCACCAAUAACAUGGAAUUUCCUGGUGGAAGAAUGAGGUCACAUCCCUCCGAUAGAGUUCCAGACACCUGUAGAAUCCAUGUCAAGAAGAAGGCCAAACCCUCCAAGGAGCCCAAGAAGGAGAAGACAACAGCCGGGGAUUCUGGGAAGGGAAAGGGCAAAGGCAAGGGCAGGAAGUGACCCCUAACCUCUGAGACAACUACCCCCCCCAACCCCACCCCAAAAAACAAACUGUACAACACCCCUCUUCUCUCACCUCCUGAAGAACAAAUCCCUUAAACUGUUUGACGACCACCUACCUGGUCUCAUCACCGGAGUGAGCGGAGACGAAACACCUGGCUCUCCUCUUGAACCCCUAUAAACUUAGGGGCUGUGCAUCCCAAAUGGUACCCUAUAUAGUGCACUACUUCUGACCAGAGUCCUAAUAGGCCCUGGUCAAAAGUAGUGCACUAUGUAGGGGAAUAGAGUCCCCUUUUGGGAUGCAAACACCAUUAUCAAUGUUAGCGCUGUGGAUUUGGAAAGGUCUUGAAUGAUUUUGUGAGUUCGUGUGUGUGUGUGUGUGUGUGUGUGUGUGUGUGUGUGUGUGUGUGUGUGUGUGUGUGUGUGUGUGUGUGUGAUGUAAAUAUGUACCUUUUAUAGUAUUAAAGAUGCUAUAGCUUUCUUACUGCUCAUCGUAGACGGCGCCUUUCUAGUCCAAACCGUAACCGUAGUGACCAACUGAUGGAUCGGAGAACGGCAGAAUAGUUCUUGUGUUUUGUUUUGUUUGUACAGAUUUUCUCUGAUAAAUGACGGCUGUAUUUACGGUAUUUUGUGGUCUGACGUGGUUUCUUUCUGUGUUUAUGGUUGAAAUACAGUCUCUUGAUCUGCAUGGGGUAAGAUAUUGUUGCUGAAACGAUCAAUU
RNAcentral lists this long non-coding RNA (1127 nucleotides) under Salmo salar (Atlantic salmon). Its description in RNAcentral is "lncRNA (ENSSSAG00000101721.1)". Lineage: Eukaryota; Metazoa; Chordata; Actinopteri; Salmoniformes; Salmonidae. The record is from RNAcentral.